GAGAUAGAGGUCGCAAAAGCAAUCAGUAGCGCAGAUUACGGCACGGAUGAUGCCUGCGCAAAAGGUGCUUUUGCCGAAAUCCGGGAUCGCUUCUCCGAGCGUUUCGGGUUGGGACAUGACAGAAGAUGUCAUGGACUGUCACAUCAAUUUGUUGUGGAGCGCUAUCGGA
This 169-nucleotide non-coding RNA is filed under the name bovine gut metagenome. RNAcentral's name for it is "Lysine riboswitch". It matches the Rfam family "Lysine riboswitch aptamer". From Rfam's summary of the family: Riboswitches are metabolite binding domains within certain messenger RNAs that serve as precision sensors for their corresponding targets. Allosteric rearrangement of mRNA structure is mediated by ligand binding, and this results in modulation of gene expression. The record is from RNAcentral.